RNAcentral lists this ribosomal RNA (502 nucleotides) under uncultured bacterium. RNAcentral's name for it is "bacterial SSU rRNA". It matches the Rfam family "Bacterial small subunit ribosomal RNA", at positions 998 to 1501 of the family's 1533-position model. The record is from RNAcentral.
UGUGAGAGAUCACUUGGUGCCUUCGGGAGCGCAGAGACAGGUGCUGCAUGGCUGUCGUCAGCUCGUGUUGUGAAAUGUUGGGUUAAGUCCCGUAACGAGCGCAACCCUUGUCCUUAUUUGCCAGCACGUAAUGGUGGGAACUCUAAGGAGACUGCCGGUGACAAACCGGAGGAAGGUGGGGACGACGUCAAGUCAUCAUGGCCCUUACGAGUAGGGCUACACACGUGCUACAAUGGCCGGUACAAAGGGCAGCGAACUCGCGAGAGUCAGCGAAUCCCUUAAAGCCGGUCUCAGUCCGGAUCGGAGUCUGCAACUCGACUCCGUGAAGUCGGAAUCGCUAGUAAUCGUGCAUCAGAAUGGCACGGUGAAUACGUUCCCGGGCCUUGUACACACCGCCCGUCACACCAUGGGAGUGGACUGCACCAGAAGUGGUUAGCCUAACGCAAGAGGGCGAUCACCACGGUGUGGUUCAUGACUGGGGGAAAGUCGUAACAAGGUAACC